AGUCAGAUAGCUGUGUCAUAUGGUGGUUCCAUUCCAAGUUUCUGAGGAAUCUUCACACUGUUUUCCAAAGUGGUUGUACCAAUUUGCAGUCCCACCAGCAGU
RNAcentral lists this microRNA precursor (102 nucleotides) under Marmota monax (woodchuck). Lineage: Eukaryota; Metazoa; Chordata; Mammalia; Rodentia; Sciuridae. The record is from RNAcentral.